Non-coding RNA from Caenorhabditis elegans, 21 nucleotides. The record is from Ensembl. Lineage: Eukaryota; Metazoa; Nematoda; Chromadorea; Rhabditida; Rhabditidae.
UGGGCUGAUUUUUCGGAAUAA